This 78-nucleotide transfer RNA is filed under the name Kofleriaceae bacterium. RNAcentral describes it as "tRNA-Leu". It matches the Rfam family "tRNA". Rfam says of the family: Transfer RNA (tRNA) molecules are approximately 80 nucleotides in length. Lineage: Bacteria; Pseudomonadati; Myxococcota; Haliangiales; Kofleriaceae. The record is from RNAcentral.
GCCGCCGUAGACCAACUGGUAGGAGUCACUGUUCUCAGAAAGCAGGCAGUGUCGGUUCGAACCCGACCGGCGGUACCA